GACGGAGGGGGCUAGCGUUGUUCGGAAUUACUGGGCGUAAAGAGUGCGUAGGUGGUUUAGUAAGUUGGAUGUGAAAGCCCGGGGCUUAACCUCGGAAUAGCUUUCAAAACUACUAAUCUAGAGUGUAGUAGGGGAUGAUGGAAUUCCUAGUGUAGAGGUGAAAUUCUUAGAUAUUAGGAGGAACACCGGUGGCGAAGGCGGUCAUCUGGGCUACAACUGACACUGAUGCACGAAAGCGUGGGGAGCAAACAGG
RNAcentral lists this ribosomal RNA (253 nucleotides) under uncultured bacterium. Its description in RNAcentral is "partial 16S ribosomal RNA". It matches the Rfam family "Bacterial small subunit ribosomal RNA", at positions 524 to 776 of the family's 1533-position model. The record is from RNAcentral.